This 469-nucleotide long non-coding RNA is filed under the name Brassica napus (rape). RNAcentral describes it as "long non-coding RNA (BNAP_LNC017046)". The record is from RNAcentral. Lineage: Eukaryota; Viridiplantae; Streptophyta; Magnoliopsida; Brassicales; Brassicaceae.
AAAAAAAACAAACGGGAAUGAAGAUAGAGAUGUUUCUCUUUACAGUAGAAACAAUCAGAAAUAUCAUAAACAAAAAAAUAUAUAUAUCAUAAACAAAAUAAGUAAAAAAGGAACGUCCAAAAGUUGCAGAGAAUCUACAGAUCAAGUUAAAAAUGGUGGGCUGCUCAGCACGUGCUAUGUCAUGAACGUAUCAUCGCCAUUACGUACGAACAAGACGAAAGUGGAAUAUGUAAGUCUUUUAAUACUAUAAUAUACAAAUUACACAGCUAUACAAAAUUCCAGUAUGUGGUCUAUAAAAGGUAAGGGGCCCAAAUAAAAUAUCAGUCGGAUUGAGGCGGUCACAAAAUAUUUGGAGCAAAACAUUUUGGACUAAAAGUUUUAAAUGCGUCCAAUUUUAACUUCGGUGCAUUGAUCUUUCAUAGUCUAGGUCUCACAUGUCGAUAGAAAAAACAAGAGUGUAUAUAUAUAU